This 253-nucleotide ribosomal RNA is filed under the name uncultured bacterium. RNAcentral's name for it is "partial 16S ribosomal RNA". It matches the Rfam family "Bacterial small subunit ribosomal RNA", at positions 524 to 776 of the family's 1533-position model. The record is from RNAcentral.
UACGAAGGGUGCAAACGUUGCUCGGAAUUAUUGGGCGUAAAGCGCACGUAGGCGGCUUUGCAAGUCGGAUGUGAAAUCCCUCGGCUCAACCAAGGAAGUGCAUCCGAAACUGCAGAGCUUGAGUACCAAAGAGGAUCGCGGAAUUCCCGGUGUAGAGGUGAAAUGCGUAGAUAUUGGGAGGAACACCAGUGGCGAAGGCGGCUACCUGGACCGGUUCUGACGCUGAUGCGCGAAAGCGUGGGUAGCAAACAGG